AGGGAUGGAGCUGGGUUACAGCCUGCCGAGGAGAGUCUCACCUUCCCCCGGGGCUUGCCUAGUGAGGCGGCGGCGAGCGGUACUUCGCCUGCUGCACCUGAAUCUAGUGGAAUCAGUCAUGAAGUGACCCUGAUGGAAUGGAACCAUGCCAGCAAAAGGUCAAAGUACUCAGCAAGUAUAAGAGGAAUGUGCAAAAAGGGCAAUUUAACACCUCUUGGAGUCAGCCAUUUGACUUCUGAACAUGAACUCAGCUUUUCAUGUGACUCUUUACUGUGCUUUAUGACUUUAGAAGAGAGAGACACAGUCCUUCCACACAGACAGCUUUAAGUCAUGAUGUCUCCUUUAUUGAUAUCAAAGAUAAAGAGGAGCAAAAUGCAUUCAGAAGAAUCAUACAAAGGUUCUUAUCCAGCAGAGAGACUGAUGGUCUGUCUCUGCUUUCAGGUUGAAACUGAUGCCAGGGAAUGGAAGUCAGUGUAGAAGCAGGCCUGAGUAGGGCUGAGAUGACCUAUAACAACAGUUGCAAAGAAGAGCCCCUACAGCUGCAGAGAAGUCAAAGGUGUUUGCUUUUCAUUUUUUAAAGUUAUUUUAUACUUGUCCAUGAUAAUCAUGCAUUAUUAAAAUGUCAAUGGGAAAUGUCUUCUUAAAUGAAUUCAUGUUAAUAACUAGUCAUAAUAUUUUGAAAGACAAUAAUUCGUUCCCAUAUAAUCUCUGCUGCACUUUGUUUGGCACAGAGGUUACCUCUAAAAAACUGCUUUACAGGUAGAGGCUCGUGCUCUUGGUGGGGAAAAAGUCAGCCCCCC
This is a long non-coding RNA of Terrapene triunguis (Three-toed box turtle), 800 nucleotides long. RefSeq lists it as uncharacterized. The transcript is spliced from 4 exons. The record is from RefSeq and is a predicted model, not a curated record. NCBI's taxonomy places the organism in Eukaryota, Metazoa, Chordata, Testudines, Emydidae.